UUUGGGAAGGUAAAAAUCGUAACAAGGUUUCCGUAGGUGAACCUGCGGAAGGAUCAUUG
Molecule: ribosomal RNA, 59 nt
Filed under: Brassica rapa subsp. chinensis
Lineage: Eukaryota; Viridiplantae; Streptophyta; Magnoliopsida; Brassicales; Brassicaceae
Description: partial small subunit ribosomal RNA
Rfam family: Eukaryotic small subunit ribosomal RNA
Source: RNAcentral